UACGUAGGGACCAAGCGUUGUUCGGAUUUACUGGGCGUAAAGGGCGCGUAGGCGGCAAAUUGAGUCAGCUGUGAAAUCUCCGAGCUUAACUCGGAACUGUCAGCUGAUACUGAUGUGCUAGAGUGCGGAAGGGGCAAUCGGAAUUCUUGGUGUAGUGGUGAAAUGCGUAGAUAUCGGGAGGAACACCAGUGGCGAAGGCGACUUCCUGGCCUGUUCUUGACGCUGAGGCGCGAAAGCUAGGGUAGCAAACGGG
This 253-nucleotide ribosomal RNA is filed under the name uncultured bacterium. Its description in RNAcentral is "partial 16S ribosomal RNA". It matches the Rfam family "Bacterial small subunit ribosomal RNA", at positions 524 to 776 of the family's 1533-position model. The record is from RNAcentral.